Long non-coding RNA from Ictidomys tridecemlineatus (thirteen-lined ground squirrel), 1851 nucleotides. NCBI's taxonomy places the organism in Eukaryota, Metazoa, Chordata, Mammalia, Rodentia, Sciuridae. The record is from Ensembl.
GAGUGACAGGGUACAGGGCGGAUUGGGCUUAAUCCUCAGCAGCAGGCAGGAAGGGCACGUUCCUUAAGAAGCUUAUCAGGGGCCCAAGCGAGUGGGCGGCAGUAGGUCUGCCUCUGCAGCUGCGUCUUUUUUAUCUAUUCCUUUCCUUAAAAAAUAAAAAACAAAAAAACGGAUGGGAAAGGGUUUCUUUUACUUCAUGGAACGAUGUUUCCACUGAGAUGAGAAAUUGAAAGAGGAGGCUGAGCCCGGAGGCCGGUCGGGAGAGGCGCCUGCAGUCUGUGCAGUAACUCCAGCCUCAAUGGUCCCCCUCUGGGGCCGGAAAAUGGCUCUCAGUGAUCCCUGCUCCAAACCCUUGUAUAAUGUGGGAAGCCACAGCGGUGUCUCGGGAGGGAGGCCUUUCUGAUAAAGCUGGUGGCCAAGGACGAGGCUGCUGAGGAGAAACCGCCUGGUCACUUCCCAGGUGUAGCCCGGGACUCUGCAGGUGCGCACAGCCGGUCACGGAAGUGGACCCUGUGUGGGCUCACGGGGGACUGGCUGUUUCUUUUGGACACCGUAGGAUGUGGAAGAACUGUGGAUGGCCGUGGAGGUGACGAGGGACUUGGGGCACUUGAAGCCCCUGUGUGCCAGGGGACUGAAUCAACCGACUCAGCAGGAGAUGGCGGAAAGAAGGCCGAAUCAGCUGAGGGGCAGCACAGACCCGAGAAAGGCCAAAGGGGAGGACUAUUUGCUGGACAGAGAGGCCUCGGGGAGACCAUCCAGGCCCUGGAGUUGCUGAUGGGAGGAAGCCAUAGGCAGAAAGAAGACCGUCUCCGUAUGAAGCGCCUAGGCUUUGGGCCUCCAGAAUAUGAAGCAAAGGAUCCGUCCUGUGUAGUAGCCUGCUUCCGGUGUUUCGUGAUAGUCAUGGAGGCUGCUUUUCCCACCAGACCCCCAGCCAAGACGGAGCAAGAGGAAAAACAGACCCACAGAGGAAGGAGGACGGGAGCCGAGAGCAGGGACAAGGGGCGGAGGGCUUCUGGGCCAGGCGGGGAGGAGGGUGCUUAUUUAUGGGGCGCCUGCUCCCAGGGUCGAUUGGACCACGACAUCCACCAACUGCAAAGAAACAUCUUGUGUUAGGGGCUGGGGCUGGGGCUCAGCGACAGAGCACUCGUGUAGCACGUGCGAGGCCCUGGGUUCGAUCCUCAGCACCACAUAAAAAUAAAUAAAUAAAAUAAAGGUAUUGUGCCCACCUACAACUAAAAAAAAUAUUUAAAAAAAAGGAGCCUCUUGUGCUAGUCUGCCUGGCCCCUGGGGAGGGCACCACUGUCAGGCCUCCCUGGAGGUGUGUUCGGCUCCCCCCAACCUGCGGAGGUGACCUGUGGACAUGUACCUCAGCUUCCUUGAGGGUGACGUGUGCAGGAACAAAGCCAAUACCUGUGCCGCUUGAGUGCUGCUCUUGUAGUCUGGAAGCAGCGUUUUCCAGGGCAGCGUCUGCAUGGUGCAAGUUGCAGGCGAGGGAGUCAGUUUGCUUUGGGAUCAAUAGGUGUGGCCUCCACGGGCAGGGAACUCAGGGCUUCCUUUUGAAUUCCAGAGGACACAGGACAGCUCCAUCUCUAAAGGCCCAGCCCAAUGGAACAUGGCAGCUGGGCAGGGGUUUUGCUUCUAGGCUGACUGUUUUUGCUCCAGGAAUAAUAAAGACCUUCUCGAUGCGAAACAGCUCAGUGUUAAUCUUGCAGAAAUAUGGGGGAUCUGAAUUGUGGUUCCAGCUGCCUCGGCUGCUUCCUCUGCUGGUCAAUUCCUGGUCACCGUAUGAAGUCCAGAAGGGCCACUCUUAAGGUCUGGACCAGGAAUGUCCCCCCAAAAGCUCAGGGGUGG